GUCCUUAUCGUCUAGAGGCCUAGUACAUCGCCCUUUCACGGCGGUAACCGGGGUUCGAAUCCCCGUAGGGACGCCA
Molecule: transfer RNA, 76 nt
Filed under: Xanthomonas oryzae pv. oryzae
Lineage: Bacteria; Pseudomonadati; Pseudomonadota; Gammaproteobacteria; Lysobacterales; Lysobacteraceae
Description: tRNA-Glu
Rfam family: tRNA
About the family: Transfer RNA (tRNA) molecules are approximately 80 nucleotides in length. Their secondary structure includes four short double-helical elements and three loops (D, anti-codon, and T loops).
Source: RNAcentral